AAACUUUCAACAACGGAUCUCUUGGCUCUGGCAUCGAUGAAGAACGCAGCGAAAUGCGAUAAGUAAUGUGAAUUGCAGAAUUUAGUGAAUCAUCGAAUCUUUGAACGCACAUUGUGCCCCUUGGUAUUCCGAGGGGCAUGCCUGUUCGAGCGUC
This 154-nucleotide ribosomal RNA is filed under the name Erysiphe neolycopersici. Its description in RNAcentral is "Oidium neolycopersici 5.8S ribosomal RNA". It matches the Rfam family "5.8S ribosomal RNA". From Rfam's summary of the family: 5.8S ribosomal RNA (5.8S rRNA) is a component of the large subunit of the eukaryotic ribosome. It is transcribed by RNA polymerase I as part of the 45S precursor that also contains 18S and 28S rRNA. RNAcentral also lists the same sequence under 2 other names. The record is from RNAcentral. Lineage: Eukaryota; Fungi; Ascomycota; Leotiomycetes; Helotiales; Erysiphaceae.